GACGAACGCUGGCGGCGUGCCUAAUACAUGCAAGUUGAGCGCUGAAGGUUGGUACUUGUACCAACUGGAUGAGCAGCGAACGGGUGAGUAACGCGUGGGGAAUCUGCCUUUGAGCGGGGGACAACAUUUGGAAACGAAUGCUAAUACCGCAUAAAAACUUUAAACACAAGUUUUAAGUUUGAAAGAUGCAAUUGCAUCACUCAAAGAUGAUCCCGCGUUGUAUUAGCUAGUUGGUGAGGUAAAGGCUCACCCAGGCGAUGAUACAUAGCCGACCUGAGAGGGUGAUCGGCCACAUUGGGACUGAGACACGGCCCAAACUCCUACGGGAGGCAGCAGUAGGGAAUCUUCGGCAAUGGACGAAAGUCUGACCGAGCAACGCCGCGUGAGGGAAGAAGGUUUUCGGAUCGUAAAACUCUGUUGGUAGAGAAGAACGUUGGUGAGAGUGGAAAGCUCAUCAAGUGACGGUAACUACCCAGAAAGGGACGGCUAACUACGUG
Molecule: ribosomal RNA, 497 nt
Filed under: uncultured bacterium
Lineage: Bacteria
Description: partial 16S ribosomal RNA
Rfam family: Bacterial small subunit ribosomal RNA
Source: RNAcentral